GACGAACGCUGGCGGCGUGCUUAACACAUGCAAGUCGAACGGUAAGGCCCUUCGGGGUACACGAGUGGCGAACGGGUGAGUAACACGUGGGUGAUCUGCCCUGCACUUCGGGAUAAGCCUGGGAAACUGGGUCUAAUACCGGAUAGGACCACUGCCUGCAUGGGUGGUGGUGGAAGCUUUUGCGGUGUGGGAUGGGCCCGCGGCCUAUCAGCUUGUUGGUGGGGUGAUGGCCUACCAAGGCGACGACGGGUAGCCGGCCUGAGAGGGUGACAGGCCACACUGGGACUGAGAUACGGCCCAGACUCCUACGGGAGGCAGCAGUGGGGAAUAUUGCACAAUGGGCGCAAGCCUGAUGCAGCGACGCCGCGUGAGGGAUGACGGCCUUCGGGUUGUAAACCUCUUUCAGCACCGACGAAGCGCAAGUGACGGUAGGUGCAGAAGAAGGACCGGCCAACUACGUGCCAGCAGCCGCCGCCG
Molecule: ribosomal RNA, 477 nt
Filed under: uncultured bacterium
Lineage: Bacteria
Description: partial 16S ribosomal RNA
Rfam family: Bacterial small subunit ribosomal RNA
Source: RNAcentral